Molecule: ribosomal RNA, 273 nt
Filed under: uncultured prokaryote
Description: partial 16S ribosomal RNA
Rfam family: Bacterial small subunit ribosomal RNA
Source: RNAcentral
UACGUAGGGGCCAAGCGUUGUCCGGAGUUACUGGGCGUAAAGGGCGCGCAGGCGGUUGGUUACGUCGUGUGUGAAAGCCCCCGGCUCAACCGGGGAGGGUCGCGCGAAACGGGCCGACUGGAGGCAAGGCGAGGGCGGUGGAAUUCCCGGUGUAGUGGUGAAAUGCGUAGAGAUCGGGAGGAACACCAGAGGCGAAGGCGGCCGCCUGGACUUGACCUGACGCUGAGGCUCGAAGGCGUGGGGAGCGAACGGGAUUAGAUACCCCGGUAGUCC